CUUUUCUGACUUUGUUCCACAGUGUGUGUAAAGCACUUAAUCUGUUCCAAGUUCUUUGUAAGACUUUAGUCUGAGGACUGAAGCCCACAGCUCAUUGCCCUUUAAAGGAAGAGCUAUAAAUAGUACACUGGGUCAUUAAAAAGAGGAAGGAAUGCACCUGGACAGCCAAGUACAUGUAAAUUUGGCCAGAGGAGACUUCAGGGCCCAGAGCAUGCCCGUCAGCAAAGUCUCCCCUGGCUUCUGCAGAAGAACUCUGGUCAUCCAGGUGAGGGACCACAGGCCAGCCAGCUGUUCCUUCCAGACGUCUCCAGAAACCUCUAUGAGUCCCUUGGAAGGUAACAAACUCAGACCAAGGAUUUGGUCCUUGCUUGUUGGGUGGCCAGGAAAUAACAGCUUUGCACAGGCUGCUCAAGAGGCUGCUUCUGAAGAAACCCAACAGUAGACUCUGGUGUGAAGAACAAAGACACACAGCUUGAGCCUGGGGAUGGACACCUCCCAGCAGCCCUGGCUGCCACUCACUGCUGUGCUGCAGCCUGAGAUGAGAAUACUGAUGUUCAGAGCAACCGACUGAACCCCUGGAAGUCACUCAUACUGAAAAUGGCAAAGCAGUAUCUGCCCCUGCUCUGUCCAAUGCUAACAGGACUGCUGAGGCCUCCCCUCCACCUCGCCUCAAGUUGACAUUGGGCCUGUGGAAAUAGACCUCUAAGCCAGCCUUUCUUGCUAGUUUGGUUUUAGCCUUUCUUGGACUCAGCUUUGCCAUCUGUGAAAUAUGUGAGUCAUCUAGAUAGUGUCUGAAACCUACCAGCUCCAAGUCUAUGGUCCACGGAUGGGCUGUGAGGACAAUCAAGACUGAGGCAGGUUUUCACUCAAGUCCUGGAAUAUCUGGUCAUCCUUCCAGGGUUCUUCAUGGCAGGGAAACAAAAUCAACAACUGAAGAACAUGAGGUUCAGGAGAUUUAAGUCUGAGUUCCAGUGUUGGCUUUGGGUGCCUCUAAUCAACCACAAAUCUAUCCCAAGCCCGAGGCAGGCUGGUCUUACUCAACAUUUAUGGGGUCUUGCAGGGCUUAUGAGUGAGCUCAUGUGGGUGAGCUGUGGGUACCACAGGACCAGCACAGAUUGCUCCAGCACAUUGUCCAGCCACGAGACAGAAUUUCCCUCUUACAGAUCCAUUGAAUAGCCCUGGCCUGUGGGUUUGCUGUAAAGAUGCAAAAGCCCUGAAGCAUUAUCUGCCAAACCUCAGCCCUGACCAUGGUUAGGCUGACAUCAGGGGAGGCAGCAGGAGAGGGAGAGAAAAGGGUAUCUCAUUGUGGAACUGGGGCAGUGGUGGGCAGGGGCUGAUGCAGGAGGGGUGCCAUGGCCCAACUGCUCUUCACCCACGGUCCUUACACAGACCUGAUCCUGCUAAUUCUGACUCAGCUUUCAGACUCAGCCUGCGGACACUCAAUUUUUAGUAAUAAGCAGUCUCCUCAUAAUUUACUAUAUAGCAAAAUAAAUUUUUAAAAGAUAUUAAUAGUUGGCACCAGAGUCUCUUCACUUCAUUUAUUCAUUUUUACAACAAACAUCUAUUGAGCCCCUGGGAUGUGCUUGUGCUCUUUUGGGCUGUGCAGAUUUAACGGUAAAGAUAACAAUGUUCCAGUCCUACUCAAGUUUGCAUUCUGAUGCAGAGAAAGACAAUUAUAAAUCAUAAAAUAUGUAUAAUAUCAGUUAAGGAUUGGUGCUUGGAAUAAAAUAAAGAAGUAGAGAGGGGGAAAUUGGUCAUUUUUGAUAUGAUGGUCCAAGAAGCCUACUGAGGUAACAUGUAGCAGAGAUGAUUUUUAAGGAAAUGACUUUGAUCAGCAACAUGAGAUUGGUAUUGGAAUAUCGAGGACAUAAGUAAGACACAAUAAAUCAGAAGGUGUUAAAAAUAAAGAUGGAUUCAUGACUGAGGGGUGGGGAGAAAAGAAAAAAAAGACAAAGAAUCAUGAC
Molecule: long non-coding RNA, 1964 nt
Filed under: Homo sapiens (human)
Lineage: Eukaryota; Metazoa; Chordata; Mammalia; Primates; Hominidae
Description: HSALNT0144217
Source: RNAcentral